RNAcentral lists this ribosomal RNA (443 nucleotides) under uncultured Fusobacterium sp. RNAcentral describes it as "bacterial SSU rRNA". It matches the Rfam family "Bacterial small subunit ribosomal RNA", at positions 338 to 795 of the family's 1533-position model. The record is from RNAcentral. Lineage: Bacteria; Fusobacteriati; Fusobacteriota; Fusobacteriia; Fusobacteriales; Fusobacteriaceae.
CCUACGGGAGGCAGCAGUGGGGAAUAUUGGACAAUGGACCAAAAGUCUGAUCCAGCAAUUCUGUGUGCACGAUGACGUUUUUCGGAAUGUAAAGUGCUUUCAGUUGGGAAGAAAAAAAUGACGGUACCAACAGAAGAAGUGACGGCUAAAUACGUGCCAGCAGCCGCGGUAAUACGUAUGUCACAAGCGUUAUCCGGAUUUAUUGGGCGUAAAGCGCGUCUAGGUGGUUAUGUAAGUCUGAUGUGAAAAUGCAGGGCUCAACUCUGUAUUGCGUUGGAAACUGCAUGACUAGAGUACUGGAGAGGUAAGCGGAACUACAAGUGUAGAGGUGAAAUUCGUAGAUAUUUGUAGGAAUGCCGAUGGGGAAGCCAGCUUACUGGACAGAUACUGACGCUAAAGCGCGAAAGCGUGGGUAGCAAACAGGAUUAGAUACCCCAGUAGUC